Molecule: ribosomal RNA, 1407 nt
Filed under: Chryseobacterium bernardetii
Lineage: Bacteria; Pseudomonadati; Bacteroidota; Flavobacteriia; Flavobacteriales; Weeksellaceae
Description: bacterial SSU rRNA
Rfam family: Bacterial small subunit ribosomal RNA
Source: RNAcentral
GCUAGCGGGAGGCCUAACACAUGCAAGCCGAGCGGUAGAGUCUCUUCGGAGACUUGAGAGCGGCGCACGGGUGCGGAACACGUGUGCAACCUGCCUUUAUCUGGGGGAUAGCCUUUCGAAAGGAAGAUUAAUACCCCAUAAUAUACUGAAUGGCAUCAUCUGAUAUUGAAAACUCCGGUGGAUAGAGAUGGGCACGCGCAAGAUUAGAUAGUUGGUGAGGUAACGGCUCACCAAGUCUACGAUCUUUAGGGGGCCUGAGAGGGUGAUCCCCCACACUGGUACUGAGACACGGACCAGACUCCUACGGGAGGCAGCAGUGAGGAAUAUUGGACAAUGGGUGAGAGCCUGAUCCAGCCAUCCCGCGUGAAGGACGACGGCCCUAUGGGUUGUAAACUUCUUUUGUAUAGGGAUAAACCUAGAUACGUGUAUCUAGCUGAAGGUACUAUACGAAUAAGCACCGGCUAACUCCGUGCCAGCAGCCGCGGUAAUACGGAGGGUGCAAGCGUUAUCCGGAUUUAUUGGGUUUAAAGGGUCCGUAGGCUGAUUUGUAAGUCAGUGGUGAAAUCUCACAGCUUAACUGUGAAACUGCCAUUGAUACUGCAAGUCUUGAGUGUUGUUGAAGUAGCUGGAAUAAGUAGUGUAGCGGUGAAAUGCAUAGAUAUUACUUAGAACACCAAUUGCGAAGGCAGGUUACUAAGCAACAACUGACGCUGAUGGACGAAAGCGUGGGGAGCGAACAGGAUUAGAUACCCUGGUAGUCCACGCCGUAAACGAUGCUAACUCGUUUUUGGGUUUUCGGAUUCAGAGACUAAGCGAAAGUGAUAAGUUAGCCACCUGGGGAGUACGAACGCAAGUUUGAAACUCAAAGGAAUUGACGGGGGCCCGCACAAGCGGUGGAUUAUGUGGUUUAAUUCGAUGAUACGCGAGGAACCUUACCAAGGCUUAAAUGGGAAAUGACAGGUUUAGAAAUAGACUUUUCUUCGGACAUUUUUCAAGGUGCUGCAUGGUUGUCGUCAGCUCGUGCCGUGAGGUGUUAGGUUAAGUCCUGCAACGAGCGCAACCCCUGUCACUAGUUGCCAUCAUUAAGUUGGGGACUCUAGUGAGACUGCCUACGCAAGUAGAGAGGAAGGUGGGGAUGACGUCAAAUCAUCACGGCCCUUACGCCUUGGGCCACACACGUAAUACAAUGGCCGGUACAGAGGGCAGCUACACAGCGAUGUGAUGCAAAUCUCGAAAGCCGGUCUCAGUUCGGAUUGGAGUCUGCAACUCGACUCUAUGAAGCUGGAAUCGCUAGUAAUCGCGCAUCAGCCAUGGCGCGGUGAAUACGUUCCCGGGCCUUGUACACACCGCCCGUCAAGCCAUGAAGUCUGGAGUACCUGAAGUCGGCGACCGUAUCAGGAGCUGCCU